GCCAGGUGUGGUGGCGCACACCUGUAGUCCCAGCUCCUUGGGAGGCUGAGAUGGGAGAAUCACUUGAACUUGGGAAGCAGAGGUUGCAGUGAGCUGAGAUCGUGCCACUGCACUCCAGUCUGGGUGACACAGUGAGACUCCAUCUCAA
Unclassified non-coding RNA from Macaca fascicularis (crab-eating macaque), 148 nucleotides. It matches the Rfam family "Metazoan signal recognition particle RNA". From Rfam's summary of the family: The signal recognition particle (SRP) is a universally conserved ribonucleoprotein. It is involved in the co-translational targeting of proteins to membranes. NCBI's taxonomy places the organism in Eukaryota, Metazoa, Chordata, Mammalia, Primates, Cercopithecidae. The record is from Ensembl.